AUCUAUCCCCCACUAUUCAGUGUGUCCUCUCUUUGCUCCCAGUACAUGGUUGAAGCAUUGAGAUAAAUACCCAAGAUCUAAUCGAGUCAAUAAUGUGGAGAGAGUUCCUACUUUCUGAACUCCCACACUUUCUUUGAUGCUCUCUCUGAUUUGAGAUAGAAGCAAUGAGGCACACCCCUCAUCUCCUUUUCAUCUGCUUCACCUGAGCCCCUCAAUGGCCAGGUUAAGAGCGACACUUACCUAUUACAGUGGACUGUUAAAGUCAAACCCUCUUGUGUGAG
Molecule: long non-coding RNA, 281 nt
Filed under: Lathyrus oleraceus (garden pea)
Lineage: Eukaryota; Viridiplantae; Streptophyta; Magnoliopsida; Fabales; Fabaceae
Description: Pisum sativum (pea) long non-coding RNA (PSAT_LNC034488)
Source: RNAcentral